Molecule: small nuclear RNA, 76 nt
Filed under: Salvator merianae (Argentine black and white tegu)
Lineage: Eukaryota; Metazoa; Chordata; Lepidosauria; Squamata; Teiidae
Description: U5 spliceosomal RNA (ENSSMRG00000014131.1)
Rfam family: U5 spliceosomal RNA
About the family: U5 RNA is a component of both types of known spliceosome.
Source: RNAcentral
AUAUUCUGGUUUCUCUUCAAAUUGUAUAAAUCACCUUUUACUAAAGAUUUCUGUGGAGAGGAACAUUUAUGAGUUC